This 288-nucleotide long non-coding RNA is filed under the name Ananas comosus (pineapple). RNAcentral describes it as "long non-coding RNA (ACOM_LNC007374)". Lineage: Eukaryota; Viridiplantae; Streptophyta; Magnoliopsida; Poales; Bromeliaceae. The record is from RNAcentral.
AUAAGGCAAUACUAUAUUUUUUAUUUCUUUCCUUGUUGAUUCCUUGUCCUUUAAGGAAAAUAGCAAUCAAAUCACAAUUUAUUUUCUUUCCUUCUACAUCCCAAUUUGAAUUCGAAUUCAAAUAUUUUUUAUCUCAAACAUUCACAGGAUAAACAAACCACGUCGGAAGAAAUUCGAACCGAAACCACGUUCUUUCGGCGAAUUUCGCCGAAAAACGCACCGAAAUCGACUCCCUGAUUUCCGCGAAGGCUAUCGGAUCAUGGACGAUCAGUCCAGAGGUCACCACAC